CACACACUGGUAACCCUCUACAGUAAAGUUCAUCUUAUAAGCUUUUCUUGGCACUAAGUAAGUAAACUUUUGUAUAUCGCACUUUACACAGACAGAAAUCAGGGUAACACUUUAUUUCACAACUAUCUCUAUAACACAUUGUAAAUAUAUGUAUAAUGCAUUAUAAUCACAUUAUAGUACUGAAAAACUACAGUUAUAAAAACUCAUAAAUGAUCAUAAUGCUUUAUAGCAAUAAUCAUAACACAUUAUAAAGCAUUUUAUCAGAACUUACAAGGUCAGGUAUUAUAAAGUGUUAUGCUUAUUGUUGUAAAGCCUUAUGAUAAUUAAUGAGUGUUUAUAAUGAUAGUUAAACAAGUUUAUAUGCAAAUUAUAACGCAUCAUAAACAUAUGUGUAAUGCAUUAUCUAUGUGGCCGUUGUCAGUGAGUUGUUAGCAGUGAUAACACAUUAUAAUACUUGACCUCGUAAGUCAUGAUAAAAUGCUUUAUAAUGUGUUAUUAUUAUUGCUAUAAAGGAUAAUGAUCAUUUAUUAGUGUUUACAACUAUAGUUAUACAGUGCUAUAAUGUGAUUAUAAUGUAUUAUACAUAUAUUUAUAAUGCAGAUAGGCGUCAAAUAAAGUGUAACCAAAAUCACAAAGCGUGUCACAAAAAGUCAUGAACAAUAAUAAGAAAAGACGUCAAAAAUACAAAACAACAAAAUAAAACAUUUUCACUAUUCAAGAAGAGUAGGAAAAUCUAAUUAAGGCAAACAAAUGUAUAAUCAUAAGCAAUAAGUGGCACCAUAGUUAAGAAAAGUGGAAUUACUGAAUAGGAAUUACCUAUGUGUCUGUCUAAACAGAUAUGUUUGUAGAUGAGUUUUGCAGGUCUCCAUAGAGACAUUGUUUGCUUAAUCAUAAACUAAUGUCUGAUUCAUUCUUGCACCAGUCAUUACCACAUCAUCAAUUAACAGAGAGUAUGUCUGCAUAACAGUCUGAGUAAUGUAUGACUUUAGGUCUUUGCACACUGAGUCUAUAUCUUUCCUUCUACUGUAUAUUGUCAUGUUGUAUCAAUCAUGUCUGCACACCAACUCAUCAACUCAACUCAAACAUGUUUGAUAUUUACAAUUUAAAGUUGGACUGCCUUUGACAGAAACCCUGUAAAAACAAAUGGAGCGGGCAGACUGGGAAGUCUUAACAACUCAGUGUUUGUAUUUACAGCUCACAAACAUGGCUGUCUAAGUUCUGUCUUUGCAGCAAAACUGAACACACAUGAUGACAGCCAACUGAUGAAGUGGAUUAUCCCCCAUGUUUUUUUUUUGUUUUUUUUACAAGAAAGAAGGGACACAAAUCAAUGAACACAAGACACAAAACAUCAAAACAAGGCAAUGAUAUGCUGCAGUGGUACAUGGGUGAGAUAGAAUAUGGAGUUCACAACACAGUCUGCUGAAACUGUGUUUGUAGGGAGCUAAAAUUGUAUAAUCAACAACAUGCAG
Non-coding RNA from Xyrichtys novacula (pearly razorfish), 1469 nucleotides. Lineage: Eukaryota; Metazoa; Chordata; Actinopteri; Labriformes; Labridae. The record is from the annotation of a GenBank genome assembly.